GCUGACCUGAAAGGGAGCUGCCGCUACAAACUGAGUGUGGGAGGAAGAAGUUGAGGUGUCUGCACAUUUUUGGGUGCGUGCGUGCGAGGCAGAGGAAGAAGGGAAAAGGAGAGCUAUUGUUAUUCUCUCCCCCUCCUUUUUGCACCUCUACCUUGAAGGGGGUAAUUGCUGAAUCAAGGGGAAACUGGCAUUCAGAAAGGGAGUGGACUCUGGAAUUGGCUCAUUCCUUUCUUGGGAUGUUCUUAGUGCUCCCCAUCUUUGAGAAUGGUCCUGUUUGGGGAAAAAUUUGUCACUUAACUUUUCAGACCUAACUUGGUCUCUCAUGCCUAAAAUUGUAAGUGACUUUAUCCACCCGGACAAUGUUACCUUAUUCCUGUCCACUUUGGCUUUUUUUAUGAGUUAUGAAAAGAAAUCCUAGAUCUGCAUGCGAUGGUGGGCUAUUUUCUGCUUUGGAAGACCAUCCUGAGAUUGGACGCUCAACUGAACCAUGGUAUUCAAGAAGAACUUCAUUGGCAGAACACGUCCUGUGGAAUUCUCCGGGUGAAACUUAGAAGUCUGCUGCUCGACAAUAAGUAGUGCCUCCACGGAUGGUAAACCUAACUUUCAGGAGGGGCAAGCACUUUUAUUGGCAUAAACACUCCCUUUCUUUUACUUCUUCUUUUAAAAAACGAAUUAGUAGCAUUGUGUGAGUAUUUAAUACUGUCUUUUUGAAUUUCCAGGUCUACUGUCCUUUUAGUCCUUCCAAGACUUAAGGCUGCAAUCCCAUGCGUAUAUAUCUGGGAGUAAAAUCCGUUGAAUUCAGUGUGGGUUACAUCCGAAAAGGAUUGCUCUAUAUAAGGCUGAAAUCUAAAUGCUAGGGAGUAAGUCCCAUUGAACAUACCAGGUCGUGUCCUUCUGACUUACAUGCUGAGGACUACGAUGCAUGGAAUAGAGGCUCAAAACAAGACCAGGGUAGAAAGCAAAACGAUUAAGUGCAGAAUGUAAAGUAUCAAACUUUCUGUUGUUGUUUUUUUAAAGAGGCCUUGAAUAAAUCCUUAAGGUCUUUCUGAAACUGGUAUGGCAUAGGGGCUGCUGGCGGUGCACUUUAGGACCCACAAUAGGUCAGUGGUGUUUUCUUAAAACUCACCAGUUCCUAGGCUGCUGGUCCUGAAGGUAUAAUGGAGAAGUACAAUUUGAAAAAGGAGGGGACCUGUUCAAAAAAGAGAACAAGAGAAAGAGAGAGAGAGAGACACAUACAGAGAGAGGGGAAAGGGGGGGGCGUGUUGGACUGUUUAGUAAAAGUCUAGAACGUAAAAACAGAUAAGAUUGGGACAGGAGGCGAAUAAAUGACUUUGGGUAAAAAAUAGCCUCCUCCGUUCCAUAACACCACUGUCCAAACACUCCUACCGAAGAUUCGCCAACAGGAUCCAGGUCUUUACCACCGUCGUUCGCUCACUUUAAAAGUUGCCAGCUUUUAACAUGUGUGUGCUGGGAGUCAACCGAAGUUAAAGAUGAUGCAUGGACACAAAAGAGCCAUACUUUAGGCGCGAAAGCACGCAUUUAGGAGGCAUUUCGUUCCGAAUAUUUCCUAGCAGGCUGGACAGAGAGAGGGCUCUCUUGCCCGAUUGGGGAGAGGGUGUUGUUAGCAAGAGGCUUUUGAUGUUCUCUAACGUUGUUAGGGUACGGUUUCCCGCGGUUGGGGGGGUGGGGAGUUAACGGGUUUAUUUUUUCCUGUUGGUGAACUUAAUGUCUUUCGACAUUAAAAUAACAGGAAUAACCUAACAAGGGAGGAAUAUCCAGAUCCAUUUAUUUUAUUUCUUAUAUGCUUAGCACGUCGUGGUUUUUUAACUUUGGCAGUAUAUUCGCGAGGGGCCGGGUCCGAGAGAAGGGAGGAGCAACCCCAGUUCAUUUACCUGCAAGUAAGCCUCGCUUAUUUUCAACGAGUACGUGUGUACACAAUACACACACACAGGUCCUUCUGAGUCUUUGAGUCUUUGCAAUAGGGCAUACACGAACCCAACGCAUAUAAGCAGGGGCUAUUGCUCUCAAGUUAAAGCCUGCCUGAGAUCCCAACUUUAAUCCCACCGAGGUCUAGUAAGAUUCAGAAGGGUAGUCAGAUGGUGUCUGGCAUUCUCAUGUGUAGGCGAACAAAAUGGGCCGAAGGAGAAAGCGAAUUCGCCAAACAAUUAACCGAGGAUUGUGGAAGGCGAACUACUUUGAGAUUUAUCACUGAAGCUUGGGUAAGGUUUUGGUUUAGGGGAAAAAACGAGAGGGAGGAAGAGGGAGAGAUCAUUUAAAAAUAUUUUCGUUUGGGGAAACAUUCCUUGGCUCUAAUAACCCGGUUUUCCGUUCUGAAUGCUAAUAUUAUUAAUCUGCAAUAAAAACGUCCGCUAACCACACACCAACACUCCCCGAACGGUAUCCCUGCAUGUCGCAGAACCUCUGGAAUAUAAAUCACGCCCGGGAGGCCCCAGCUGCCCCCAUCUCAAUUCUGCAGCCUUUGGCAAUAAUUCCAGCUUCAUUCCAACUGCUUCUUGUUGUUCCUAGAGGCGCCCGCCCCUAUGAACGGCCACCGAGUUGGCACCGGGCCACUUAUACCACUUGCAAUCAUCGGUGUGCUAUUUCUGGCUCUGAGUUUAAAUUAUUCGUUCUUUGCAUCAUAAAUAAAGUUGUUGCUUUUUUGUUUGUUUUGUUUCAUUGUGGAGUGUUUCUAUGUGUGAGAAAUCUAGCAGCUAAUAAUAAUAAUAAUAAUAAUAAUAAUAAUAAUAUUCUCACGCUUCUGGGACUCAGUGAAUAAACCUAGUGGCGGCAAAAUGAGGCCAACGCAAAUGAAGGCAGCUUACUAAAACGAUUUCUGCUAGCCUGCUACUGCUGCUGCAGUUCAUUAACUACAGUUGGCACGUUCAGCUGCGAGUCAUCCAGUAUUGCCUUAGUAUGAUGAUAAGACAGUGAGAGGUAUAAAAUGCACGUGUGAAGUGGUCCUGAGCACCUUCAGGGAGAAGUCAUCCCCAUCUUUUUAAAUCUCGGCUGCUGGCUUUUGGAGGGCAGGGGUAGUGCGCCAGGGAGGUGGGUCACCAAGACAGCCCCAUAAGUGGUGUUAGCCUUUGGACAGAGAGCAGAAGUGGAGCAAUCCAAGUCUAAAAGACAUAAAAUCCUAUAGGGAAGAGGAAAGUGCCUUCAGGAAGGAGGAAACUUCCUCCCCACACACCAAAAUCCGUCUAUUUUAAUGGGGUAAAGUUUCUGCUCAGUACCCACCAAAAAGAUGGAAAAGCAGCAAAAAGACAGAAACUCUCCCAUUCUAGUGUUUGGUGGUGUCUUCUGGUCUUCUUCAUGUAUUUUCUUCAACAUAAGGUUUUCUAUGUGGCCUGGUGGCAUUACUUAAUGCUGUUGUUAUUUGUUGCAGAAAUACUGUCUGUCCAUCUGUCCAUCCAUCCAUCCAUCCAUCCAUCCAUCCAUCCAUCCAUCCUUUACGUUUUUAUCUUCCCUUUCUGCUGUGGAAAUCAAGGCUACCAGUAGUGGUAGCACAUUAUGGAAUAGGGGCAGGUAACCUCAGACCUCCGGUGGCCCUCUAGAUAUCGUUACCUGGCCCUUGGGGCUCUCCCCAGGCCACAGCCAUCUCUCCAGCCCUGUCUACCACCCUCCUCAAGUAUUCCUGCCUGACUGGAAUGUAUUAUGGAACUCUGAUAAUGGCUCUUCCUUGCCUUGAUGGAGGAUGAAUAAGGGGAUUUGUAUCCUAAGAUGUCUUCCCUUGUUACAUCGGAGCAGGUUUAAGAGAACUUCAGUUCUAAAGAACUUGGUUUGGGUGCAAGUGCAUCUGACUUAAGGAAAUUUACAUCCAUGUAAGUGUGCGAUUAACACUCUCCCUCCUCCUCCUCCUUAAUCCUCUCAUAGCCACACGUGCACGCCAACUCUACCCAUGCGCCUACUCGGGAUAAACCAGCAUCUCUCUAUCCGAUUGUUUCCCUUGAUGGAUUGUAACUCUUUCUCCCCCACGACCUUUGGUUUAGAAGCCUAAUAACUCACCGGAUUAAUGGUCAAUCAACGGAAGUAGCUUUAAAUUGCCUCCAAUGUAUAAAACAUAAACAACAACACCAGCCAAAAGGGGGAAGGAAAGAGAGAACCCCCUCCCCCACAAUCCCAGUCUGUUUCGUGCUCCACCCUCUUGGGGGGGACGACUUUGUCUUAUGUAAGUGGUCCCUGGGUCUUGUUCUGCAGUUGGGGGGGGCUGGAGAGGGGAGGCGUGGGCGCGCUUGACUAGUACGGAACAGUCCAGUACAUAUUUAAAAAGGAGGAAGAUCAGAGAACCUGAGUAACUCUCCCCAAGCAGAAACGUGCAUCUGGAUUUCCAUGGAAACUACAUUUUCAAGGGGAUUUGCUACCAGGGAACGUGUUUCGUAUCAAAUGCGAGGGCUUUCUUGUCCAAGCCAAGCACAGGGACAACCUGACCACAUGCUGAUUCUGAAUGCUAUUUACUGCUAAGGCUGCAAUCCUAUACGGUUACCUGAAAGUAAGAGCCACUGGACACCGUAGGACGUACUUCACAUGACGUGUUCGUGUGAGCGGGACCUUGAGAUACUAGGCAGCUGACCUCUUGCAUUGUCUUUCUUUCGAAUUAUGAAAUAAAGGACUGAACCAUACUUUCACGA
This is a long non-coding RNA of Podarcis muralis (Common wall lizard), 4625 nucleotides long. RefSeq lists it as uncharacterized. NCBI's taxonomy places the organism in Eukaryota, Metazoa, Chordata, Lepidosauria, Squamata, Lacertidae. The record is from RefSeq and is a predicted model, not a curated record.